UGGGGAAUAUUGCACAAUGGGCGCAAGCCUGAUGCAGCGACGCCGCGUGGGGGAUGACGGCCUUCGGGUUGUAAACUCCUUUCGCCAGGGACGAAGCGUUUUGUGACGGUACCUGGAGAAGAAGCACCGGCUAACUACGUGCCAGCAGCCGCGGUAAUACGUAGGGUGCAAGCGUUGUCCGGAAUUACUGGGCGUAAAGAGCUCGUAGGUGGUUUGUCACGUCGUCUGUGAAAUUCCACAGCUUAACUGUAGGCGUGCAGGCGAUACGGGCUGACUUGAGUACUGUAGGGGUAACUGGAAUUCCUGGUGUAGCGGUGAAAUGCGCAGAUAUCAGGAGGAACACCGAUGGCGAAGGCAGGUUACUGGGCAGUUACUGACGCUGAGGAGCGAAAGCAUGGGUAGCAAACAGGAUUAGAUACCCUGGUAGUCCAUGCCGUAAACGGUGGGCGCUAGGUGUAGGGACCUUUUGGGGUUUCUGUGCCGUAGCUAACGCAUUAAGCGCCCCGCCUGGGGAGUACGGCCGCAAGGCUA
Molecule: ribosomal RNA, 531 nt
Filed under: uncultured bacterium
Lineage: Bacteria
Description: bacterial SSU rRNA
Rfam family: Bacterial small subunit ribosomal RNA
Source: RNAcentral